GAACCUUACCAGCCCUUGACAUGUGACUCGCCGGGAGCAGAGACGCUCCCUUCGGUUCGGCCGGAGUCAACACAGGUGCUGCAUGGCUGUCGUCAGCUCGUGUCGUGAGAUGUUGGGUUAAGUCCCGCAACGAGCGCAACCCUCGUCUCCAGUUGCCAUCAGGUUAUGCUGGGCACUUUGGAGAAACUGCCGGUGACAAGCCGGAGGAAGGUGGGGAUGACGUCAAGUCAUCAUGCCCCUUAUGUCCAGGGCUUCACACAUGCUACAAUGGCCGGUACAAAGGGCUGCUAAGCCGUGAGGUGGAGCGAAUCCCAUAAAGCCGGUCUCAGUUCGGAUCGGGGUCUGCAACUCGGCCCCGUGAAGUCGGAGUCGCUAGUAAUCGCAGAUCAGCAACGCUGCGGUGAAUACGUUCCCGGGCCUUGUCACACCGA
RNAcentral lists this ribosomal RNA (431 nucleotides) under uncultured soil bacterium. RNAcentral describes it as "bacterial SSU rRNA". It matches the Rfam family "Bacterial small subunit ribosomal RNA", at positions 966 to 1393 of the family's 1533-position model. The record is from RNAcentral.